RNAcentral lists this ribosomal RNA (492 nucleotides) under uncultured bacterium. Its description in RNAcentral is "partial 16S ribosomal RNA". It matches the Rfam family "Bacterial small subunit ribosomal RNA", at positions 29 to 507 of the family's 1533-position model. The record is from RNAcentral.
AGUGAACGCUGGCGGUAGGCCUAACACAUGCAAGUCGAACGGCAGCACAGUAAGAGCUUGCUCUUACGGGUGGCGAGUGGCGGACGGGUGAGGAAUACAUCGGAAUCUACUUUUUCGUGGGGGAUAACGUAGGGAAACUUACGCUAAUACCGCAUACGACCUACGGGUGAAAGCAGGGGAUCUUCGGACCUUGCGCGAUUGAAUGAGCCGAUGUCGGAUUAGCUAGUUGGCGGGGUAAAGGCCCACCAAGGCGACGAUCCGUAGCUGGUCUGAGAGGAUGAUCAGCCACACUGGACCUGAGACACGGUCCAGACGCCUACGGGAGGCAGCAGUGUGGAAUAUUGGACAAUGGGCGCAAGCCUGAUCCAGCCAUACCGCGUGGGUGAAGAAGGCCUUCGGGUUGUAAAGCCCUUUUGUUGGGAAAGAAAAGCAGCAGGUUAAUACCCCGCUGUUCUGACGGUACCCAAAGAAUAAGCACCGGCUAACUUCGUG